CAGUAGCCGCGGGAAUACGGAGGGUGCAAGCGUUACUCGGAAUCACUGGGCGUAAAGGACGCGUAGGCGGAUUAUCAAGUCUCUUGUGAAAUCUAACGGCUUAACCGUUAAACUGCUUGGGAAACUGAUAACCUAGAGUAAGGGAGAGGCAGAUGGAAUUCUUGGUGUAGGGGUAAAAUCCGUAGAGAUCAAGAAGAAUACCCAUUGCGAAAGCGAUCUGCUGGAACUUAACUGACGCUAAUGCGUGAAAGCGUGGGGAGCAAACAGGAUUAGAUACCCCCGUAGUCCCUGUCUCUUAUAC
RNAcentral lists this ribosomal RNA (301 nucleotides) under uncultured bacterium. RNAcentral describes it as "partial 16S ribosomal RNA". It matches the Rfam family "Bacterial small subunit ribosomal RNA", at positions 509 to 807 of the family's 1533-position model. The record is from RNAcentral.